AAUGGCCGCGGUAAUUUGACCGUGCAAAGGUAGCAUAAUUAUUUGUCUUUUAAUUAAAGGCUUGUAUGAAUGAUUGGAUGAAAAAUAUACUUUAUUAAUAAAAUUAAUUGAAAUUAAUAUUUAAGUAAAAAUUCUUAAAUAUAUAAGUGGGACGAGAAGACCCUAUAGAGUUUAAUUUUUUUAUUAUUUUAAAAUUUAAGAAUUAAUAUAUUUAUAAUAAAAAAAAAUUUUUUAUUGGGGUGAUAUUAAAAAUUAUUUAACUUUUAAUUAAUAUAUCAUUAAUAAAUGAUUAAUUGAUCCAAUAUUUUUGAUUAUAAGAUAAAAUUACCUUAGGGAUAACAGCGUAAUUAAUUUGAAGAGUUCAAAUCGAUAAAUUAGUUUGCGACCUCGAUGUUGGAUUAAGAUAAUUUUUUGGGGUAAUUUUUAAAAUAUUAGGUCUGUUCGACCUUUAAAUUCUUACG
Molecule: ribosomal RNA, 461 nt
Filed under: Canualna liberiana
Lineage: Eukaryota; Metazoa; Arthropoda; Insecta; Hemiptera; Cicadidae
Description: partial 16S large subunit ribosomal RNA
Rfam family: Bacterial large subunit ribosomal RNA (bases 335-461)
Source: RNAcentral